Molecule: long non-coding RNA, 1949 nt
Organism: Folsomia candida
Lineage: Eukaryota; Metazoa; Arthropoda; Collembola; Entomobryomorpha; Isotomidae
Exons: 4
Source: RefSeq, a predicted model, not a curated record
ACAAUUACAUACUAUGUCCGACUCAUAUAUUUCAAGUAUGUAAAAUACAAUAAGCUCUGAAACCUGGCCACGUCACCACCCAAUGCGAAAACUUAGCAUCAUCUGUGUCAACAAGGGCCGCUUAUCUUUCACAUACUUACAUAAAUAUAUUUAUCUACGUAACACCAGGACUGUUGGGAUGCCGGGUGAGGCAAUCUUUAAAAAACCAUGGCAAAUAUUUGCUGAUAACAUAAUUGAAAUAUAUUAAAUACGUGCAUAAAAAGCCUUUUCGAUGACAUUGGGCACGAGCAGUGAAGCAUCAAAAGUGAGAUCGAAACUCCGGCGGUCUAAAGUGCUGAAAAUACAUAACGUAUUUUUUACUAGAAGUAUUAAAUUACGACCAUAUUUUCAGGUUCUUUUACUAGAAACAUUUUAGAAAGGUGUCGUCCACGCGUAUUUAGCUGUGUUGCCGUGACAAGUUUCAGCUGCUAAGAACUUAUCUUUAAAAGUAUAUCUGGAAAAGACUCGCAAAAUAUGGACCCCAUUCUCAUUCUCCUUUAUAUUUACGCAUUUUUCUUCAUCUUUUUCGGAGUUUGGAGCAUGUUCGCUAUUGCUGCUGACAAAAAUGCUGCCGAGACUCGUCAAUGGAGGACUUCUGAGUACAAACUUCACCUCCUGGAACUCAUGGGGGAUGGUUCGGGAGUCUCUCAGCUCAACUUUCUUUCCGUCACAAAAUCAAGAAAAUUUCUUAUCAGAUCGUUUUCUGGGCAAUUGUCGUCCUUCAUGUGGUUGGAAUUGUGACGGUGUACGUCAACCAGGAACAUAUCCGGGAAUUGUUUAAAAACUUAUAAACAAAAUCAACGUAUGUUCUGGAGUUUAGGAGAAAUCGCCAUCUUGUAGAAGCUUACUUAUCUAAAAAAAAAUAAUCUUCAUUCCCAAUAAAGACAGUCCAUAUUCUUGUGCAUUCCCAAAAUUAUCCCACGUUAAACUUUUAUCAUUAUGAAAAUCAAUUAAUCCCAUUCUGUAAUUUUAUGCAUUUAAUGCAUGUUUUUGAAAUAUGCACGCAGACAAAUAAAUCUUCAUAAAAGUAAACCACAAUUCAAAAUUCAUACAAAUUUUUUAACACAUCAUAACUUUCGCUAAUUGUGUGCAAAGAUUUUUAACACCAGCAACACACCCCGUAAAUAAUAAGUAGUUAUAUCAACUCACCCAAGUACUGGACCACCAUUCGCCAUCACCAUGGUAACCGGUCUCUAUCUACUAAUAAAUAUGUAUGUACAGUAAACAAGUUUAACUUGUACGACGCACUUUUCAUUAUUAUUACACAGUCUUGCAAUGUUAAUUCCCAGCUGACAAAUCACCACCACUCGUCACACUCGAGGAUCCUGUUAUUUUCCAAGCCGUAAAAUAUUUAUCCGUCCGAAACCAGCAGUGUUGACAAUUCUUCCGAGCAGGCUACCUGCAAAAUACUCCCAAGAAAUGGACCCAAUUCUCAUUCUGCUUAUCAUCUACGCCUGUUUCUUCCUCAUUUUUGGAAUUUGGAGCUUUUCCGCAAUUAUUGCCGACAAAAACGCUGCCGAGACUCGUCAAUGGAGGACUUCCGAGUGCAAACUUCACUUCCUGGAACUCAUGGGGGGAUGGUUCGGAAGUCUCUCCGCUCAAGUCUGCGUCCACCACAAAACUAGGAAACUUUCUUACCAGAUCGUCUUCUGGACAAUUGUCAUCCUCCAUGCGGCAGGAAUGGUGGCGGUGUACCUCAACCAGAACGAUAUUAGGGAAUUCUUGAAAAAUUGAUGGGAGGAAAAUUUGAUGGGAGGUCAUUGAACUCUGUCCAAAACAAGUCGUCUCAUUAUUCAAUAAUUUACUAAAAAUUUUUAUAUUUCUAAAUAUGAACAAAUACUCCAAUACUUAUUCCACCUCAUAAUGUUUUUCCAUUUUUCAUGAAAAUAAAACAAAAUUACCUCCAGUAA